Long non-coding RNA from Rosa chinensis, 305 nucleotides. RefSeq lists it as uncharacterized. The record is from RefSeq and is a predicted model, not a curated record. NCBI's taxonomy places the organism in Eukaryota, Viridiplantae, Streptophyta, Magnoliopsida, Rosales, Rosaceae. The transcript is spliced from 4 exons.
UCCCAAUAUUUAUAGCAGAAAUCGCGCCAAAAAUCUCCAUGGAGGGCUUACAACACUAAAUCAGUUUCAUUUUGUAAUAGGAACAAUUAUAAGUUGGAGGACACUUAGGGCCUGCUUUGGUUGCUCUUUACAAUCCACUUCAACUUGCAGCUUCAGCCUUUUUAUCAAGAGUUUUCCUCGGAUACCCUAUUUAUUUGGGAAGUUGCCAGACUUAUGAAGGUGGUAUAUCUGGGGAACCUGGUUAUGAAGCUCAUGGUGGAUACUGAGUUUGCCAAAGCAUGGAGACAACAACUCAAAGAAGCCUG